Molecule: ribosomal RNA, 450 nt
Filed under: uncultured Anaerolineaceae bacterium
Lineage: Bacteria; Bacillati; Chloroflexota; Anaerolineae; Anaerolineales; Anaerolineaceae
Description: bacterial SSU rRNA
Rfam family: Bacterial small subunit ribosomal RNA
Source: RNAcentral
ACCCGCACAAGCAGCGGAGCGUGUGGUUUAAUUCGAUGCUACACGAAGAACCUUACCAGGGUUUGACAUGCAAGUGGUAGGAAACUGAAAAGGGACCGACCCUUCGGGGAGCUUGCACAGGUGCUGCAUGGCUGUCGUCAGCUCGUGUCGUGAGAUGUUCGGUUAAGUCCGCUAACGAGCGCAACCCUCACUGUGUGUUAUAUGUGUCACACGGGACUGCCGGUUUUAAGCCGGAGGAAGGUGGGAUGACGUCAAGUCAGCAUGGCCUUUAUAUCCUGGGCUACACACACGCUACAAUGGUCGGUACAAUAGGUUGCCAAGCCGCGAGGCGGAGCCAAUCCAAAAAAGCCGGCCUCAGUUCAGAUUGUAGGCUGCAACUCGCCUGCAUGAAGAUGGAGUUGCUAGUAACCGCAGGUCAGCAAUACUGCGGUGAAUACGUUCCCGGGUCUU